Molecule: transfer RNA, 72 nt
Filed under: Ipomoea nil (Japanese morning glory)
Lineage: Eukaryota; Viridiplantae; Streptophyta; Magnoliopsida; Solanales; Convolvulaceae
Rfam family: tRNA
About the family: Transfer RNA (tRNA) molecules are approximately 80 nucleotides in length. Their secondary structure includes four short double-helical elements and three loops (D, anti-codon, and T loops).
Source: Rfam by way of RNAcentral
GCCUUCUUAGCUCAGUGGUAGAGCCCAUGGUUUUUAACUACAUAGUCGUGGGUUCAAUCCCCACAGACCGUA